AGGAGCUCACCUCUGGAUUCCAAGACGUUCCCAUCAGUGAUCAUCACUGAAGGCAGACCAUGGAGUUGAAGUUCAGCUGGGUUUUCCUUGUUGCUCUUUUAAAAGGUGUCCAGUGUGAGGUGUAUCUGGUGGAGUCUGGGGGAAGCUUGGUACAGCCUGAAGGGUCCCUGAGACUCUCCUGUGCAGCCUCUGGAUUCACUUUCAGUGACUACUGGAUGUCCUGGAUCCGCCAGGCUCCAGGGGAGGGUCUGGAGUGGAUUGGAGAAGUUAAUCCAAAUGGAGGUAGCACAAACUAUGGAACAAACAUGAAGGGCAGAUUCACCAUAUCCAGAGACAAUUCCAGGAACACCCUGUAUCUGCAAAUGAGCAGUGUGAGACCUGAGGACACAGCCAUGUAUUACUGUACUAGACACUGUGAGGUGUGA
Non-coding RNA from Jaculus jaculus (lesser Egyptian jerboa), 425 nucleotides. The record is from the annotation of a RefSeq genome assembly. Lineage: Eukaryota; Metazoa; Chordata; Mammalia; Rodentia; Dipodidae.